This is a long non-coding RNA of Diceros bicornis minor, 1615 nucleotides long. RefSeq lists it as uncharacterized. The transcript is spliced from 3 exons. The record is from RefSeq and is a predicted model, not a curated record. Lineage: Eukaryota; Metazoa; Chordata; Mammalia; Perissodactyla; Rhinocerotidae.
CAUGGAUAAAUGCUUCCCACUCCCUGAAGGUCCUUCGUGGCAGAGAGGAGCUUGGGGAAUGAGGACUUGGGGUAGGGAAGAACAAGACAGAGCCAGGGACUGAAAGUUAAGGGUCCAGGAACAAGACCACUCAUACUUGGAUCCUUGGGGUCCUCAUUUGGAAGUAGGGGGAAUCAUUGCCCUGGCUGAGGUGAGGAUGCCUUCUGAGAAAACUAGACACCCCAGAGGGGAGUGGCAAAGAGGGCGGCAGGAGUGUCUUCUGAGGUCCCUUCCACAGCCCUGAAAUCCUUCAGGGCCUGCUGUUUUACUCCUGGGACUCCGGAGAGCCUUUGCCUUGAGGUCACCCAAAGAAAGAUUCCUGCCUGGGGCUGCAGUGCUAGUGCUGGCCACCAGGGGACAGGCAGCCUCCUGGUUCAUGGUGCCCACUGAGCUUUGCUGGAGCAAUUGGGGCAGGAAGAGCCAUGCAGAAUGUCAUUUCGGCCACGCCUCUGCUUCAGAAACAAUAUGCACCUCCUACGAUUAGUGAUCAUUUCUACAGAAUGAGCUGGGCAGAGGCAGGAAGAAGAGCUCCAAGAUCUCCCCAUUUAUUUAUUUAUUCGGAGAUUUAUUUAUUUAUUUAUUCCGAGAUUAUGGCUCACCCUGUGCCAGGUGCCAAAUGGUCUCUCUCUUCCAGGAGCUUUCAGUCUGGAGGAGAGAAGGACAAAAGCACAGAAGCAAGACAUGUGAAAGAAAAGAAGCUCCACCCAGGACAUUGUCAAGGAGCUGGUUGAUGGGUUCAACUCCUCCAUCUCACUAGACAAGGGGCAGAUGCAUCUGGCGAUGAACAAUGGCCAACACUGGUCUGGGGUAAGUGUGGGCACAUAGUGGUCUCCAUACCCAGGACACUGAGAUGACCGGGGUGAACCCAGAACCCAGUCAAUCUGGUGAAUCCCCUGGGUUCCUUCCAGGAAUGUGGUUUCCCCAGAGCCUUCCGCUUCAUGCCAGGUGCUGAUGAAGCCUCAGGUAGUUUAGAGGGAAUGUCAUGCAGCCCAUGGUAGGGGCAGUUCUCAGUUCUGACCUGUGUGAUCUUGAGCAGCCCCUUGAAAUCCCUAACCCUCUGUUUCUCAAUAUCUACAGUGGGGACGUUUGUUGAUGACUCACUGAGAUAAUGCUCUUAAUACAGGCUAUCAAUACAGGGAGGUGCUAUUGUUUCUCAGCUAACACAAAGCCUUGAAGGUACUGGUUGUUUAUCACUCUCCCCAAAAUCAAAUGAUGCUUUUAAAGCCUGGAACCUUUUUCUGUGUGGGCACUCAUGUCCCUCCUCUUGCCCAAGUUCCUGAGGUGAUGGGAGUUUCUGGUCUGAGCUCCAGACCCUGAUCCUCCUGGUGGCUCAUGGUGAUGCCACUCACUAUUUGUUCCUCCUUGUCCACUUGGUGUGAAAAGGAGUCAACCCUCUCCCGGGAUGAGGCCUACUCAAUGCCGACCCCCAAGGCAGGCACAAUGGAGAAGGUGGUAGAGUCCCUGGUACCAGCUUUCCCGGAUAGAAACAUCUCCUACAUUGCCGCCUUCCCAUGCAUGUACCAGGUCUUCACCACCACCCAACAGACUCAUUUUCCAAGCGCGGCCUUCGACGGGA